Equus caballus (horse) is the source of this 2725-nucleotide long non-coding RNA. NCBI's taxonomy places the organism in Eukaryota, Metazoa, Chordata, Mammalia, Perissodactyla, Equidae. The record is from Ensembl.
GUGACUUCUAAGGGAUGAGAUACAGGCCAGGUCAUUAGAGCUCUGUGGAUCCUGAGGAGGACCUGGGCUUUUCUGCUGAGUGAAUUGGGAAGCCCUUGGAGAGUUUGGCGUACGGGGCCUGAAGCACCUACAUAUGCUGUGCUGGGUCUCUCUUGAACAGGGUCCCACUCCGGCAGUCUUGUUGAGAGGCCUCCCUGGGCAACACUCUGGGGACGUGUUGCAGGUGCUCUUGUCUACAAGAAGGAAGCCUUGCAUCGCGCAUUAGAUGAGGCGAAACCGCAUUCUAGCAGCCACAUGAGUUAUUUGAAAAGAUGACCAGUCAUCUGGAGUUUCCUGACUGCCCUGAGAACUUGAAAUCUGAGCAAGCGGAAAUAGUAACGACAAUAUUUACGGCGUUUUCCCACAGCAGUGCUGGUAGCAGGUCGCCGCUGAGCCUUGUUCUCCUGGGGCGACAGAUGUGUGUUUUGGUGAUUCAUAACAUCAGGAAUCAAGGAGAUGCUUUCCUGUCCCUCUGUUCCAUUUUCAUGUCCUUCUCCUGUAAGCCCCGUCUCUGGAGGGCAGAUGGCAGGCUCCGGGGAGUUACCCAAGGGAGCUCUAAUGCCAUUGCUGUAUGGCCCCUUCACUGAACACUCCUUUAAAGACACCAGGUCACCUCAAAAGCCAAUUUCGGACUCAUUUUUUCUUAACCACCAAAAAAAAAUUUUUUAAUGUUGUUCAUUAGAUGAACUGAAGAAAAGUCAUAAAAAUCAGAACAAAGUUUAGCCCGAGAUUCAAAAGAAAUGAGGAAAUAUAAUUCUUAGCUUAAAACCCAAACUGUUCUUUUGAAAUCUAUUCAGCAGUGGGGGAAACAUCGAUAUUCUGCUUCAGUGCCUUAGUACUUAAAAGGGAUAUAUUGGGCUCUAUACUUUAACUGCCAAAUCCGACAUUCAUAUCCAUCUGGACAUUUUUAAAAGGAUCCUUGAGCCAGCCAGAGUUGGCAGUUGGCUGUAUAAUCACACCUGCAUAUGGCACAGGAGUUUUUUUAAUGGGCAACAGUUAGAGCAUGAAAGUAUUGCAUGAUAUGCCUUCGUUUAAAACCCACACUUCAACAUGUUUGCACAUGUGAGUAAUUAUAUUUUAAAGCUCUCUGUUAAGCCUUUGUUCUUUAUUUCCUACAGAUCAAAUUAGUUGGGGACCCAGUUUAUUUUGAAAUUAUUUGGAAAAUGUUUUGGCGUUCUAAAAUUUCCUUUGUACAGAAGUUUUGCAAAGUUAAAAGGCAAGCCACAAACCUCCACAACCAGUGGAAGAAGAAAUGCAUAAAACCACCAACAAAUUAAAUAUGACAAACACCCACGCAACAGGAGAAUGUCAGGAAAGCUUGUGUCUCUAAGUACGUGUCAACCUCCAUGUGGGAUUUGGCUCCAACUCACUGUACAUGGAGAUAAUCUUUAAUGCUUAUAAAUCUGGAGAACCUGGCUUCACAAAGAUCACAUUUGUCCCAGUGCAAUAUAGGCUUCCAGGGCUCUCCUUCUACAUCCCUUGUAGUGUAAGUCUAACUGUACCUUACUGCCAGCAACAUCCAGGAGUGAAGCUGAUGUGUAAUCGGGGGCUACUCUUUGAGAUGAUUUUCAAAGAAAGGUUAAAGGUAAUGAGGAGGGAAGCAUCCUGACUUGGGAGAGCCCAAGUCAGAAAUUGUCUUCAACCACCUACCCUGCCUCCUUUGCCAGUACACAGAGCCCAGUUUGGGAAAGGCAAUGAGAUAAUCUACAAAAUCACUUGGGAUGGUCUUGUUAAGGAUGGUGCAUUGACUGUGGCUAGCUACUCUGCUUCUUUAGAAUAGCAGUCACUGUGUGAAAAUCCUAUAUAGAAUGGUCACUCAUCCCUACGCAGGAAAUUUCACCUAAACAGCUUCUGGGACUGCUUUAAUUACUUCCAACCACCAACAUGGAAGGGGACAUCCGACACAUGGAAGAUUAAAAAUUGCAUUUAAAAUGCAAGGUGGGGGCCCAUAGGCAACUUCUUUCUCACAGGUGAUGGGGAUUCAUGGCUGCUGUGGCUGUGCUGGGCCUUCCCUCUUCCUCAGUUUCCCGGUUACCAUCCUCUUUCCCCUGCUUCCUCUCUUCCUAUCCAUGCCCUUGCUGGAUCAUCACUUUCUGACACCAUCGUUAGCCUUUCUACAUAGAAAAUACUCUUGAAAAAUCAGAGAUGCCUAAUGUAAAAGACUGCAGUCAUCACAAACAUCAUUUGAAAAUAAAAUCAUGUUUCUAACUAAAUUUGAUUCUCUUUCUUCAGUGGACAUAAAGCAGACACAUGAAUUUAUAGGAUAAAACUCAUGCUUGGUUUUGACUCCUGAAAUAAUGAAAAAAAAUCAUUUUCUAUUUCUUAGCCAGGCAGUGAAGGAAUCAUUCUUGCCUUUCCAAAUGGGCAGGGCUUUCAAGACUGACAGGGCAAGGUCAGUACAUAAGAUUUUGUAAUCAUCACAAACAUGACUUGAGCACUCAAGCCUGAGGGGAAUGUGUGCUGGUGGGAAAGGUGGGGAUAACGUUUAGGAAAAGAGCUGUGCUUAACUAGGAUCAUAAGUUUGGAUUGCGUAGUAGUUUUUUUAUGACUAUUUUUUGUUUCUGAGGACAAUAAUCCAAUUCCUAAGUGGAAAGAAAGGGACUCAGAUUACACAAAGCUUGGCUCAAUUCAGCCACUUCAUGAACAAUCAAUGAUUGACGUGAACACGAAUUUAUAUCUUACAUAG